This 1382-nucleotide ribosomal RNA is filed under the name Lelliottia amnigena. Its description in RNAcentral is "bacterial SSU rRNA". It matches the Rfam family "Bacterial small subunit ribosomal RNA", at positions 61 to 1434 of the family's 1533-position model. Lineage: Bacteria; Pseudomonadati; Pseudomonadota; Gammaproteobacteria; Enterobacterales; Enterobacteriaceae. The record is from RNAcentral.
GUCGAGCGGUAGCACAGAGAGCUUGCUCUCGGGUGACGAGCGGCGGACGGGUGAGUAAUGUCUGGGAAACUGCCUGAUGGAGGGGGAUAACUACUGGAAACGGUAGCUAAUACCGCAUAACGUCGCAAGACCAAAGAGGGGGACCUUCGGGCCUCUUGCCAUCAGAUGUGCCCAGAUGGGAUUAGCUAGUAGGUGGGGUAAUGGCUCACCUAGGCGACGAUCCCUAGCUGGUCUGAGAGGAUGACCAGCCACACUGGAACUGAGACACGGUCCAGACUCCUACGGGAGGCAGCAGUGGGGAAUAUUGCACAAUGGGCGCAAGCCUGAUGCAGCCAUGCCGCGUGUAUGAAGAAGGCCUUCGGGUUGUAAAGUACUUUCAGCGAGGAGGAAGGCAUUGUGGUUAAUAACCGCAGUGAUUGACGUUACUCGCAGAAGAAGCACCGGCUAACUCCGUGCCAGCAGCCGCGGUAAUACGGAGGGUGCAAGCGUUAAUCGGAAUUACUGGGCGUAAAGCGCACGCAGGCGGUCUGUCAAGUCGGAUGUGAAAUCCCCGGGCUCAACCUGGGAACUGCAUUCGAAACUGGCAGGCUAGAGUCUUGUAGAGGGGGGUAGAAUUCCAGGUGUAGCGGUGAAAUGCGUAGAGAUCUGGAGGAAUACCGGUGGCGAAGGCGGCCCCCUGGACAAAGACUGACGCUCAGGUGCGAAAGCGUGGGGAGCAAACAGGAUUAGAUACCCUGGUAGUCCACGCCGUAAACGAUGUCGACUUGGAGGUUGUUCCCUUGAGGAGUGGCUUCCGGAGCUAACGCGUUAAGUCGACCGCCUGGGGAGUACGGCCGCAAGGUUAAAACUCAAAUGAAUUGACGGGGGCCCGCACAAGCGGUGGAGCAUGUGGUUUAAUUCGAUGCAACGCGAAGAACCUUACCUACUCUUGACAUCCACGGAAUUUAGCAGAGAUGCUUUAGUGCCUUCGGGAACCGUGAGACAGGUGCUGCAUGGCUGUCGUCAGCUCGUGUUGUGAAAUGUUGGGUUAAGUCCCGCAACGAGCGCAACCCUUAUCCUUUGUUGCCAGCGGUUCGGCCGGGAACUCAAAGGAGACUGCCAGUGAUAAACUGGAGGAAGGUGGGGAUGACGUCAAGUCAGUCAUGGCCCUUACGAGUAGGGCUACACACGUGCUACAAUGGCGUAUACAAAGAGAAGCGACCUCGCGAGAGCAAGCGGACCUCAUAAAGUACGUCGUAGUCCGGAUUGGAGUCUGCAACUCGACUCCAUGAAGUCGGAAUCGCUAGUAAUCGUAGAUCAGAAUGCUACGGUGAAUACGUUCCCGGGCCUUGUACACACCGCCCGUCACACCAUGGGAGUGGGUUGCAAAAGAAGUAGGUAGC